UGGGGAAUAUUGCACAAUGGAGGGAACUCUGAUGCAGCAACGCCGCGUGCGGGAUGACGGCCUUCGGGUUGUAAACCGCUUUCAGCCAUGACGAAGCUUUUGUGACGGUAGUGGUAGAAGAAGCACCGGCUAACUACGUGCCAGCAGCCGCGGUGAUACGUAGGGUGCGAGCGUUGUCCGGAAUUAUUGGGCGUAAAGAGCUUGUAGGCGGUUUGUCGCGUCGAUAGUGUAAACACGCAGCUUAACUGUGUGCCUGCUGUCGAUACGGGCUGACUAGAGGAGGGUAGGGGAGAAUGGAAUUCCCGGUGGAGCGGUGGAAUGCGCAGAUAUCGGGAGGAACACCAGUGGCGAAGGCGAUUCUCUGGACCUUUCCUGACGCUGAGAAGCGAAAGCGUGGGUAGCAAACAGG
Molecule: ribosomal RNA, 409 nt
Filed under: Fusobacteriota bacterium
Lineage: Bacteria; Fusobacteriati; Fusobacteriota
Description: Fusobacteria bacterium partial 16S ribosomal RNA
Rfam family: Bacterial small subunit ribosomal RNA
Source: RNAcentral